RNAcentral lists this ribosomal RNA (122 nucleotides) under Tiarina sp. RNAcentral describes it as "partial 18S ribosomal RNA". It matches the Rfam family "Eukaryotic small subunit ribosomal RNA", at positions 1675 to 1806 of the family's 1831-position model. The record is from RNAcentral. Lineage: Eukaryota; Ciliophora; Prostomatea; Prorodontida; Colepidae.
GUCGCUCCUACCGAUCGAGUGAUCCGGUGAACCUUCUGGACUGCUGCAGUCUUCAGGCUGCGGUGGGAAGUUAAGUAAACCUUAUCACUUAGAGGAAGGAGAAGUCGUAACAAGGUUUCCGU